RNAcentral lists this unclassified non-coding RNA (313 nucleotides) under Hevea brasiliensis (rubber tree). The record is from RNAcentral. Lineage: Eukaryota; Viridiplantae; Streptophyta; Magnoliopsida; Malpighiales; Euphorbiaceae.
UUUGAAGACGGUCAAAGGUAUAUUAAACAAGCUGACACCAGAGAAAUUCGAUAUUCUUAAGGGCCAGUUAAUCGAUGCUGGAAUUACAACAACAGAUAUUUUGAAGGAUGUUAUUACCCUUAUAUUUGACAAAGCAGUAUUGGAGCCUACCUUUUGCCCCAUGUAUGCUCAACUUUGCUUUGAUCUCAAUGAAAACCUCCCUGUGUUUCCCUCGGAAGAACCAGGUGGCAAGGAAAUCACGUUCAAGCGCAUCCUCUUGAAUAAUUGCCAAGAGGCAUUCGAAGGUGCCGAGAAUUUAAGAGCCGAAAUCCGA